AUUCUGGUAACCCUGUUUUAACAUGGAAAUUUCAGAUUAUGAAAAAAAAAAAGUCUGGUGCACUAAGAUCUCGAUAUGCGUAGAGUUCGGGGAAGAGCCUGAACACAAGAGUCUACUGUAUGCAACCUUUCCCUGUAUUUCUACAAAAAAUUAUUUCCACGGCUCAAACCCGUAACUCCUGGUCACAUGGCAGCAACAUUGCCAGUGUGUUUUUUGUGAAAAAGAUUCUCUUUUUGGAGUCAUUCAAAAGAUAUUCAUAGGCAAGGCCGUAAAAUAUGAGAUUUGUAAUCUUUAAAUUAAGACUGAUUAUCUUAUAUAAAUGAUAAAAGCGAUAUGAUAGUGUAAAAAUUACUUAUAAUGAUGAUGUAUAUAAUUUAAACUCGUAUUUUUAUGCAACUGAUAGUUGAUUAAAAUGUACUAAUAGAACUUAGAAGUAAUGGUAGCAAUUGCUUACCCAUAACUUCACUGAGAAGAAGAAAUUAAUCUUGAACUCACCUCAAAACCCAAGCGAAUAAGUUGGUAAUAUUGAGCAAUUACUUGGCUAGAACCUGCAUUACAAUAGCAAAACAUGAUUAACUUCGUAAGGCUAGUGAUAUGACUCUAGUGGUACUUUUCAAUUUUUUUUUGUGUAAGAAGGAAAAUACGCAGUCGCUACAACCUCUGUCAUAGUUUUUGCCCUUCGGGUGAGCACUCUGUGGUGAACACUUUGUGCGCACAGGUAAACCUUCUUCUGUGUAAUUGCCUUACAAAUAUAGGACAAAGUGUAUAAACGAACUCCUUUAACAUUACGUAAGCCACUUUAGUGCGAACGAGAAAGGUUAGAAUUAUUGGAUGUUGUUCAGUCGACUAUAACUUAACAACCAAAAAGCUAUGUGAAAUCAUAACAUACCCGGUUUCUUUGUUCUUCUCAACCAAGAGGUCAUUCAAGCGCUUAACAUCUUCAAAUUCACCAUUGAGGGUGGAACCCAAGAUAGCAGCUACACAAAUUGUGUUCUCAUCCACCAUUUCUACAGCUUUCUCAGGGUCCAUCACAUAGCAUCCAUCACUCAAUUUUACUUCUUUCAAUUCCACUUCAAAAUAUAUAUAUAUAUAUAUAUACACCUCAGAGGCUUGAAACUGUUAUGUACACCUAUACCCACGCAUUACACGGCAUUUGUACGCACGUGCAUAGCAUUAUAAAUGUUUCAGGAUUUACAAGUUAUUUAGACUUACGGGUGGAGUUCUGUAUUGCAUGUUUCAUCUAUGUCUUUUAUGUACUAAUUUUUAUGUCUUACAUACUCAGUACGUUAUUCGUAUAGACGCCCUAUUUUCCGAGUCUUGCGUUUCAUGCCCGCAGGUGCAGCGGUACACUCUGCUCUCUCGCGACCCCUACUCUAAUCAAAAGACUAAAGGCCCCUAUUGAAGAUAGGUCGCCAAACUACGACCGAGAGUUUCGCCUUUUGAAGCGGCAGUGGCGUAGAGCAUCGCAUGUUUUAUGAUAGUAAAGGGCAUCUUGAUGCAUAAAGCAUCACGCAUUCACUUAAGGUUUGCGGAAGGACCAUACCUCAAGGAGUGUAAUGUAAACAACUGACCCUAAUGCAAGCAUUAACGGCAGCUUACAUGGCCCAAACCCCAUGAUCUAUAUGUCACAUGAAGACAACUUUACCUUUGCUCUAAAGUUCCUCUUCAGAAAAAGAGAAUGGCAUCAUCCGAACUCGAUUUUUAACGAGUUAUGAAUUUAAUGGAAAAUCCAGAACUCAUUAACCUCAAAACUCACCUAUGACUAUACACAUAAUUAAGGACUUGUAAUGAAGGAAUUAUACCUUUAGAGAAGUUGAGAGUGAAAGUAGGUUGAUCAGCACCAAGGUAAUUAAUGUGGAAAAUAAGUUCAUCAGGCAAGUCUUCCUUAUUCCUCCAAAUAGCCCAACCAAUACCAGCAUAGACAAGACCAUAUUUGUGACCACUCACAUUAAUACUUUUCACCAAUGGCAAUCUAAAGUCCCAUUCAAGCUCAGGAUAAAGGAAUGGUGCAAUGAAUCCUCCACUUGCUGCAUCCACAUGAAUUGGAGUGUCCCACCUGUUACCAAUUAUCAACUAUAUAUUAUGGUAUUAUAUACGGUUAGACCUCUCUAUUAUAUAGUUAUUUAUUAUAAAAGUUAAGUUUUUCUCGGAAUCAAUAUUUACAUUAUGUUAUAAUAUGUAUCUUCCAUAACAAUACUUUACUAUAACAGCAAAAAAAUAUCGGAACAAUCGAGACUAUUAUAGAGAGGUUUGACUGCGUAUAAAUAUAAGUAGUUUGAUGCGUAAAGUAUCCCGCAUUCACGUAGCGUUCGGAGAAGGACCGCACCAUAAAGGAUGUGAUGUAGACAGCUUAUCCUAAUACAAACGUUAAUUAUUACUUCCAUGGCUCGAACUCGUAACCUAUAUGUUACACGAAAACAACUUUACCAUUGCUCCAAGAUAACUCUUCUAUUAUUAUAUUUAUACAAAGAAAAACAGAAGAAAAAAAGAAGAAGAAGAUAUUUACACAAAUGCUCAUAAGUCUUUUCAUAAAUAUGAAUUCGAAACAGUAAAUUUAAGACUAACUUAUAAUUUGUAUAUAAUUCGCUAUUUCUUUUAAUUAAUAAUGUUAGAAGACGUACGAUCGAUAUACUUCUGAAAGCUCGGACAAAGUGUAUAAACGAACUCCUUUAACAUUACGUAAGCCACUUUAGUGCGAACGAGAAAGGUUAGAAUUAUUGGAUGUUGUUCAGUCGACUAUAACUUAACAACCAAAAAGCUAUGUGAAAUCAUAACAUACCCGGUUUCUUUGUUCUUCUCAACCAAGAGGUCAUUCAAGCGCUUAACAUCUUCAAAUUCACCAUUGAGGGUGGAACCCAAGAUAGCAGCUACACAAAUUGUGUUCUCAUCCACCAUUUCUACAGCUUUCUCAGGGUCCAUCACAUAGCAUCCAUCACUCAAUUUUACUUCUUUCAAUUCCACUUCAAAAUACCUUGCAAAUUUCUCCCAACAUACCUGUUAAAAUUACAAAAUUAGUCCACUCUCGACUCCUAAAUUUUGGAAACAAAUUCAUGUAUUUUAUAGAGUUCAACUUCUCUAUGCGACAGUGCAAAGAAAAUUUUAGACUAUCAAGUAAAUUAAAAGAUAAAUACAGGUAACAAAGUCCAUAAAAAAUCGAAUUAAUGCCUAGAAAGUAAGAUAUAAUACCUAUCACAACAUAUUAAA
RNAcentral lists this long non-coding RNA (3204 nucleotides) under Nicotiana benthamiana. RNAcentral describes it as "long non-coding RNA (NBEN_LNC027921)". Lineage: Eukaryota; Viridiplantae; Streptophyta; Magnoliopsida; Solanales; Solanaceae. The record is from RNAcentral.